AUCAGGACUUGAGGGGUGUGUUACAUCAGGACUUGAGGGGUGUGUUACAUCAGGACUUGAGGGGUGUGUUACAUCAGGACUUGAGGGGUGUGUUACAUCAGGACUUGAGGGGUGUGUUACAUCAGGACUUGAGGGGUGUGUUACAUCAGGACUUGAGGGGUGUGUUACAUCAGGACUUGAGGGGUGUGUUACAUCAGGACUUGAGGGGUGUGUUACAUCAGGACUUGAGGGGUGUGUUACAUCAGGACUUGAGGGGUGUGUUACAUCAGGACUUGAGGGGUGUGUUACAUCAGGACUUGAGGGGUGU
This is a long non-coding RNA of Oncorhynchus keta (chum salmon), 307 nucleotides long. RefSeq lists it as uncharacterized. The record is from RefSeq and is a predicted model, not a curated record. Lineage: Eukaryota; Metazoa; Chordata; Actinopteri; Salmoniformes; Salmonidae. The transcript has 3 exons.